GUAUUUCCGGCUGAUGCGUGAAGGCUUUUAGAAGCUUAACUUGAGCAGAGUUGGGGCUUCGUUGAGUUGAGUUUCGAGACUUCUUGUGGCUGGAUUGAGCUUAGUGAUAGAGCCUUCCACAGCGGGAAAGGCUAGGGUUUCUGGC
Molecule: long non-coding RNA, 145 nt
Organism: Ananas comosus (pineapple)
Lineage: Eukaryota; Viridiplantae; Streptophyta; Magnoliopsida; Poales; Bromeliaceae
Exons: 3
Source: RefSeq, a predicted model, not a curated record